GAUGAACGCUGGCGGCGUGCUUAACACAUGCAAGUCGAACGAUAAAGCCCAGCUUGCUGGGUGGAUUAGUGUCGAACGGGUGAGUAACACGUGAGUAACCUGCCCUUAACUCUGGGAUAAGCCUGUGAAACUGUGUCUAAUACCGGAUAGGAGCGUCCACCGCAUGGUGGGUGUUGGAAAGAUUUAUCGGUUUUGGAUGGACUCGCGGCCUAUCAGCUUGUUGGUGAGGUGAUGGCCCACCAAGGCGACGACGGGUAGCCGGCCUGAGAGGGUGACCGGCCACACUGGGACUGAGACACGGCCCAGACUCCUACGGGAGGCAGCAGUGGGGAAUAUUGCACAAUGGGCGGAAGCCUGAUGCAGCGACGCCGCGUGAGGGAUGACGGCCUUCGGGUUGUAAACCUCUUUCAGUAGGGAAGAAGCGAAAGUGACGGUACCUGCAGAAGAAGCACCGGCUAACUACGUG
Molecule: ribosomal RNA, 466 nt
Filed under: uncultured bacterium
Lineage: Bacteria
Description: partial 16S ribosomal RNA
Rfam family: Bacterial small subunit ribosomal RNA
Source: RNAcentral